RNAcentral lists this long non-coding RNA (409 nucleotides) under Physcomitrium patens. RNAcentral's name for it is "long non-coding RNA (PPAT_LNC002212)". Lineage: Eukaryota; Viridiplantae; Streptophyta; Bryopsida; Funariales; Funariaceae. The record is from RNAcentral.
AGGGUUUUGGAGCACUUAGCAAUUAUUGUUCAAAGUCAAUGUUUAUAUGAGUGAUUUGGAUUUUUUAUAAUAUAAUAAAGGCUAGCAAUUUUAGCUAGUUCAUACAAUUGGUGUAACAUCUACGGUUGAAAACUUGAAAUUAUUUGGAUUAUUAGGUGUACUAAGUGUAUACAAAUUUUUGUGAUAAUCUAAAGGCGUAGUUUAGAGAUAUCUAGUUUUUAGCACAAGAGGGUUUUGAAAGGUGGCAAUUUGAGGUUGGGUAGGAUUUCUAUGAUAUUUGAAGAUUUAUUAGUCACAUUAAGGUGAAAAUUGGCAUGGUGUUGAAGGACUUGAAGAUCAAGCUACACAACAAUUUUGAGACAAAGAUAAUGGUUGGAAAGGGAGAAAUCAUUGCUGAGAAUUUUGCUUC